ACCCGAAAUGUAAAAACACCCGAACGGAUCUUGUAGGGUGGUACAAAAAAUAUCCGAACGCGAAGUGUUAUUAACUGAAUCCGAACGAGUAACCCGAAAAAUCAGAAAUUAAUAGUCGGUAUAAAUAUUUUGAAAUAUAUAUAAGUGUUUCAAUUAUUAAAUUCAAUAUUUGUGGUAAUAUGAUAUAUAAUAAUAAAUAUUAAAAUUUUAACAAAUGUUUUAAGUAUACAGUUAGUUAUAAAUAAGUAUUUUAUAAUUUGCUCAUUGAAAUAAAAAAGUUUACUCUCUAUAAGGCAAUACAUAUUGUUUACAAAUGAUGUUUGUUUUCAUGCUUGAUUUAACAUUUUAUUGUUAUUUUAUCAAUUUUACGUGUGAUAGAUUAAUUUGUAUUUAAUUUAGAUGCUUUUCUUUAUUUUUUGCUUCAAAAUUUUUUAUUUUUACUUCGGUUAUAUCCAAACUGAACCGAUAUAACCCGAAUCCGUACGAUAUAUGAUUACUUUAUGGGUUUUAGGACGCAAUACAAUUUUGAACCGAACCCGAAGUGUUAUUAUCUGAACCCAACCCAUACUAAUAAAAUUCUAGUAUGGGGCCUAGGAGCAUAAACCCGAAAAUCCAAAAAUCCGAAAAACCCGAUCCGAACGCCAACGGGUACCCGAACGCCCAUGCCUACUCCUAGCGUCCAAGUUCUAUACACAAAGGUUAAUUAAAAAUAAACUCCGAC
Molecule: long non-coding RNA, 721 nt
Filed under: Brassica napus (rape)
Lineage: Eukaryota; Viridiplantae; Streptophyta; Magnoliopsida; Brassicales; Brassicaceae
Description: long non-coding RNA (BNAP_LNC015799)
Source: RNAcentral